CCUACGGGUGGCAGCAGUGAGGAAUAUUGGUCAAUGGGCGCGAGCCUGAACCAGCCAAGCAGCGUGAAGGAUGACUGCCCUACGGGUUGUAAACUUCUUUUAUAAAGGGAUAAAGUGAGGCACGCGUGCCUUUUUGUAUGUACCUUAUGAAUAAGGAUCGGCUAACUCCGUGCCAGCAGCCGCGGUAAUACGGAGGAUCCGAGCGUUAUCCGGAUUUAUUGGGUUUAAAGGGUGCGUAGGCGGGUUGUUAAGUUAGUGGUGAAAGUUUGCGGCUCAACCUUAAAAUUGCAAUUGAUACUGGCAGUCUUGAGGAGAGUGGAGGUAGGCGGAAUGCGUGGUGUAGCGGUGAAAUGCUUAGAUAUCACGAAGAACUCCGAUUGCGAAGGCAGCUUACUAAAC
Molecule: ribosomal RNA, 399 nt
Filed under: uncultured bacterium
Lineage: Bacteria
Description: partial 16S ribosomal RNA
Rfam family: Bacterial small subunit ribosomal RNA
Source: RNAcentral